GCGGAGAUGGCGGAAUGGCAGACGCGCUAGAUUCAGGUUCUAGUGGGAGCAAUCCUGUGAGGGUUCAAGUCCCUUUCUCCGCA
Molecule: transfer RNA, 83 nt
Organism: Lachnoclostridium sp. An118
Lineage: Bacteria; Bacillati; Bacillota; Clostridia; Lachnospirales; Lachnospiraceae
Rfam family: tRNA
About the family: Transfer RNA (tRNA) molecules are approximately 80 nucleotides in length. Their secondary structure includes four short double-helical elements and three loops (D, anti-codon, and T loops).
Source: Rfam